This 497-nucleotide ribosomal RNA is filed under the name uncultured bacterium. RNAcentral describes it as "partial 16S ribosomal RNA". It matches the Rfam family "Bacterial small subunit ribosomal RNA", at positions 28 to 507 of the family's 1533-position model. The record is from RNAcentral.
GAUGAACGCUGGCGGCGUGCCUAAUACAUGCAAGUCGAGCGAACGGACGAGAAGCUUGCUUCUCUGAUGUUAGCGGCGGACGGGUGAGUAACACGUGGAUAACCUACCUAUAAGACUGGGAUAACUUCGGGAAACCGGAGCUAAUACCGGAUGAUAUUUUGAACCUCAUGGUUCAAAAGUGAAAUACGGUCUUGCUGUCACUUAUAGAUGUAUCCUCGCUGCAUUAGCUAGUUGGUAAGGUAACGGCUUACCAAGGCAACGAUGCAUAGCCGACCUGAGAGGGUGAUCGGCAACACUGGAACGGAGACACGGUCCAGACUACGACGGGAGGCAGCAGUAGGGAAUAUUCCGCAAUGGGCGAAAGCCUGACGGAGCAACGCCGCGUGAGUGAUGAAGGUCUUCGGAUCGUAAAACUCUGUUAUUAGGGAAGAACAUAUGUGUAAGUAACUGUGCACAUCUUGACGGUACCUAAUCAGAAAGCCACGGCUAACUACGUG